This 408-nucleotide ribosomal RNA is filed under the name uncultured bacterium. RNAcentral's name for it is "bacterial SSU rRNA". It matches the Rfam family "Bacterial small subunit ribosomal RNA", at positions 355 to 775 of the family's 1533-position model. The record is from RNAcentral.
UGGGGAAUAUUGCACAAUGGGCGCAAGCCUGAUGCAGCGACGCCGCGUGAGGGAUGACGGCCUUCGGGUUGUAAACCUCUUUCAGUAGGGACGAAGCGAAAGUGACGGUACCUACAGAAGAAGGACCGGCCAACUACGUGCCAGCAGCCGCGGUAAUACGUAGGGUCCGAGCGUUGUCCGGAAUUACUGGGCGUAAAGAGCUCGUAGGUGGUUUGUCGCGUUGUUCGUGAAAACUCACAGCUUAACUGUGGGCGUGCGGGCGAUACGGGCAGACUAGAGUACUGCAGGGGAGACUGGAAUUCCUGGUGUAGCGGUGGAAUGCGCAGAUAUCAGGAGGAACACCGGUGGCGAAGGCGGGUCUCUGGGCAGUAACUGACGCUGAGGAGCGAAAGCGUGGGUAGCGAACAG